Molecule: transfer RNA, 71 nt
Filed under: Toxocara canis (dog roundworm)
Lineage: Eukaryota; Metazoa; Nematoda; Chromadorea; Rhabditida; Toxocaridae
Rfam family: tRNA
About the family: Transfer RNA (tRNA) molecules are approximately 80 nucleotides in length. Their secondary structure includes four short double-helical elements and three loops (D, anti-codon, and T loops). Further hydrogen bonds mediate the characteristic L-shaped molecular structure. tRNAs have two regions of fundamental functional importance: the anti-codon, which is responsible for specific mRNA codon recognition, and the 3' end, to which the tRNAs corresponding amino acid is attached (by aminoacyl-tRNA synthetases). tRNAs cope with the degeneracy of the genetic code in two manners: having more than one tRNA (with a specific anti-codon) for a particular amino acid; and 'wobble' base-pairing, i.e. permitting non-standard base-pairing at the 3rd anti-codon position.
Source: Rfam by way of RNAcentral
UGAGCGGUAGCUCAGUGGUACAGCCCCGCUUCGUACGCUGAAAGACCUGGGUUCGAUUCCCGGCUGCUUAC